AGUUGAAUCUUAUUCUGCCUGUGCUUGGACUGAAGGGAGCUCCCUUUUCUACUAGCCCCAUGCAAACCAGAAGACCCUUGGCUUUCUUUCUUUGUUACUUCUGCAAAUAACCUUUUUUAUUUGCAUGUUUCUUCUGAAUAACGUUGCAGCUCGGUUUCCUAGCAAAUUUUCUGAGUAGAAGAAGGUAUUUUAUGUUCGGAUCUAAUUUGACAUUGAUGAUUCACAUCAUUUAACAGUUAGUAAAGAUUUUUUAGAUUUUGUUGGUUGAAUGAUUAUAAAGUUAUUUCUACACAUUAGGUCAGAAAGUCUCGCGUGCUGCUGGAGCAAUUGUUCCAUGUUAAUUAGAGGUUUGUUCUGUAUUUUAUGAUCCAGCUGUGUUUGGAAGUCUUUUCAAGCCUCUGUGAUCUCUUUACUUGUGGAUCUACUAAGGCUUUUACGAACGACCUAUAGUCGAAGUCACUAGGGUGGUAAGGGGGAAUAUAAACUGAAGCCGGAACCUUUUUCUCCCACUCCUCUACUCAAGAUCUAAAAAAGCAAAUCAGUUUGUCUCCUUAGAGAGAUCAAGGCACCUUCUAUAUCUCUCUAAUAUUAGCAUCAAAACUAUAGAUCUAUGUAGAAAAAAUUGUAAGAAACAGUUGCUGUUCAUGUGAUUUGAAGUCAUGACAUGUAAGGGUGUUCAAUACUCAAUAAGAUUCAGCACUAAUCAUUCGGACUCCUAUCCUUUUAGCACGAACAUACGGCAUAAUUGUUUUGGAGACUUUUCCUCCCUUCACCAGUGAGAUCUAUGCAUUAUUGGUUUUCAGAAAUUUUCUUUCUAGUGCUCGGAAACCCUAAUCCUUUAUGUUAGGAUUCAGUGGGAGCUUCGAUAGCGCAGUCUUCAACAACAAAAUCUCGAGCCUCGCUCUCUUGUUUCAACAAGUUCCUAGACAUUUAUGCUGUUAGGGUUUCUUAUUACACAACUGCCCUUUUGCUAAGGAGCUGAUCGAGGCAAUCAGUUCCCAUAUUAAGAGAUUUUUAUCUAUAUUUCGUUUGCUAAAUCAUUACACUAACGCUUGAAUUUUUAUUUGUUUUUUUAACUAUAACUCAGUGGAUUAACAAAACAUUUUAAAAGAGCUCCAUAGGGUCUUUUUUAGUAGUUGGAAGUGAUUGUUCAAGGGCUGAUGCGUGGGCAAAAAACAAUGCAUUCAUAUUUUCUUUUGUUUUUGAUGCAAUCAAGCUGUUAAGUCUUUAGUCUAUAGUUAUAGUUUUCGUUUGUAACUGUUGUUUAUUGCCUACCCCCUUCCCCUCUUCAGCUUUUAGUAUUCGUUUUUAUGGUAUUAUCUAAUUUUGUUCUGUUGAUUAGGUGGUACACAGAUGUCCAUCAUAAUUGAAUCAAGACUUUGAUGUAAGGAUAUUCUGGCACUCGUCAAAAUUUGUAGUAUAAUUGGCACAAAAAUAAUGCAAUAGGUCUUAUUCCAACUUGGUUGUUGGAAUGAUCCUAUAGCAUGGAAACUUAUAGGAAAUCUUGAGCGAUGAGGAACAUUUCGAUGAAAAUAAGAGCUGGGUACGUUGUUUCUUAGCUAGAAGGAAUAUGUGGGAACCUUAAAAACCUGAUUGAUACAUGGGAACCUUAAAAACCUGAUUGAUACAUGAACACUAAAAGUCGACUAUUUUUUCGGCGUAUUAUAUGCUUCCAAGAAAUUUAGGUGCACCAUGCUUUUCCUUGGUGAGAGCAUUCCAUGUGAUGUUCCCUUCGUUUCGCAGGAUUUUUGUUUUACCUUGCUUGUAACGUCCUAUAAUGAAUUAUAAGCAAUGCAUACAUCCAGAAUUCUGUCCUUUACAUGUUGUUUAAAUAGGCCUACCAUCUUUAUUUGGGUCUUGAGUACUGAUCCUAAGGGCUUAUUUGAGUUGACGGCUAAACAAAAGACACUUGAAUAGGCCUCUGAAUUGUUGUAUAAACAUGCAUAUUUCGUAUUCUAACAACAGCACCAUGAGCUUGGACCUUCUUGUUGGUUUCUUCCUUGCACACGUAACUCUUCUGUAUGCUACCAAAAUGAACAAAUUUUUCGUUUGUUCGAGUUCGGUGCGUGCUUCUGAUUAUUCUAUCCUCAUUGUUGCUCUAGGAAGAGCUACGGUAGUGUGGAUACAUUUGUUGACCUGUUGCAUGUCAUUCAAGUUUUCUUUGAAUCAAUUGGUGAUUUAGAUUCUGCAAUCCGAAAGUUUGUUUUUAUGAAUAAAGUUACUUCACUUUUAAGCUAUAGAUUCUUUCAUCUAAUUCCUGUUCUUUGUUCGCUGGCCAUUUCUUCACUUUUGAUUUUUCAUCAGUUGGUCACCACUGUAACUUACGGUCCAUUAUCUCUGCUAUUUCUUGUUACUAGUCUUUCGUUCUCCUAUUUGCUGAUUACUUUCGUUGGUGUUAACUCUUUGAAUCAUCCAUCUAUUUAGCCUCUUUUGGUCUUUAACUGUUGACAGGUCGUAUUACUAUCAUGAACCCCCUAUGUACCUUAUGAUGGAACCAUUUGCAACUAGGGUCAAACUCACCCUUUUUUUUGAGUUCUGGCUUCAACUCUUCCCCCUGGAUCUUCUGUUGAGCUUCUACUAUAUAUAUAUGUCCGUCGUCGGCACCAUUUACAGUCUGCGUCGUCGGCAUUGCAGCUAUUAUUGUUAUCUGCGAGACACCUCGUUUUUUCUCUCCGCCAUUCUCGCCGCAAUUGCAGCUAUAAUUUCUUUUUGCCCGACAUAAGUGUCAGACGGGGGGAACCAUGGCUCAUGGGGCAAGUCUCCUUUGACUGGAUUUUUUUUCUAUUAAUUCUUCUACUUAUAUUGAAUGUCUUUCUGUUUCUGACUAUGCUAAUGCAGCUUGUCCAACAAAAAGAAAGGUAAACGUAGAUUUAUUUUCGCCUCUUUUGUGAGAUUUAUUGUCAAUACCGUGCAUGAAAUGAUGGUUGCAGGGAUUAUGGAAAUGAUAUUAAAAACGAUUGUUCUCUUUGCCUCUUGGACGCUCUAGGGAUUCUGUUGUUCUUUCAGAACAGUUUUUGGUGUCUUGAACAAGGCUCAUCGGGCAAUUCCGACGGGGGGUGAAUAUUCUCGGCUCGAAUCAUGCUUGUGGGGCUUCGGAGUCUGAUUAGGAGGAUACCGUUUCUCGUGUUUCUCCGCUGUUAUCUCUAAUAUUCCGCUCUGCUCAUGACUAAAAUGUUCUGGGAUCUGUGUUUUAGUUUAAUGUAGAUCCUGUGUCCUUUGUUUUGGACAUGCAUGGAUUUAUGGUGCUUGGAUUAUGUCGCCCUCCAAUUAAGCUUUACCAUUUACCCUUCUGAAAUGUUUUCUUGCGUUUGACCCAGAGAAGCCUAUAGUUCUAAUCGUGUCUUUCCUAAGUGUCAUGUAUCCUAUUUUUCCUAAAGAAAAAGGCAAAGAAGAAUUUUUAUUUGGUUAAGUUAAGAGAGGAUUUUCCCAUUAAAAUGACGGUGAGAGGUUCUUUCAUGUUCCUAGUUGCUAAUUUUUUUUAAUUCGGAUAAUGGUAAUUUUCUUAAUUGUGGACUUGGGCUUCUGGCAAUUUUCCCGGGGAAGCUAUGGUACAGUGGAAGUCUCACUCGAGGUUUCAUUUUAGCUAUACGAGCCGUCAGAAUACGACGUGGAGUGGAAAAACAUGAAGAAACUAGAUUUGUUGUCAUCUGGAUAAUUCGCAGACAUGUUUGAACCCGGUAAACUCAGCAUGGAACCCUAACCCUAAACCUAAUGGCGGAAGUCUCUGCUUCUAGUCCAAAAGCUGCCUUUGUUGCUCUCUCCUUUAUCCAUGUGGAAAACCUAGAGAGGCUCUUUCUACAGUAGAACCGGCUUUUGUAAUUAUCUUUUUAUCUCUCCCAUUGUGAUGCUCUUUUUUUCCUUUAUUUCUCUUGACAAUAGAACUUGCUUUAGAGCUUUGGUUG
This is a non-coding RNA of Phoenix dactylifera (date palm), 3902 nucleotides long. NCBI's taxonomy places the organism in Eukaryota, Viridiplantae, Streptophyta, Magnoliopsida, Arecales, Arecaceae. The record is from RefSeq and is a predicted model, not a curated record.